RNAcentral lists this ribosomal RNA (519 nucleotides) under uncultured Saprospira sp. RNAcentral's name for it is "partial 16S ribosomal RNA". It matches the Rfam family "Bacterial small subunit ribosomal RNA", at positions 11 to 528 of the family's 1533-position model. The record is from RNAcentral. Lineage: Bacteria; Pseudomonadati; Bacteroidota; Saprospiria; Saprospirales; Saprospiraceae.
GUUUGAUCCUGGCUCAGGAUGAACGCUAGCGGCAGGCUUAAUACAUGCAAAGUCGAACGGUAACAGCAGAGUUUACUUUGGCUGACGAGUGGCGAACGGGUGAGUAACGCGUACACAAUCUACCUUUAAGUGAGGGAUAGCCUAUGGAAACGUAGAAUAAUACCUCAUGGUAUUGAAUUAUCGCAUGGUAAUUUGAUUAAAGAUUAAUUGCUUAGAGAUGAGUGUGCGUCCUAUUAGCUAGAUGGUAGUGUAAUGGACUACCAUGGCGACGAUAGGUAGGAGGCGUGAGAGCGUGGACCCCCACACGGGUACUGAGACACGGACCCGACUCCUACGANGGCAGCAGUAAGNNUAUUGGACAAGGGCGNNNGCCUGAUCCAGCCNUGCCGCGUGCNGGNAGACGGCCCUACGGGUUGUAAACUGCUUUUGUAUAGAAGNAUGGCCCUGACGUGUCAAGACGCGACGGUACCNUAAGAAUAAGCACCGGCUAACUCCGUGCCAGCAGCCGCGGUAAUAAGG